CUGGCUCAGGAUGAACGCUGGCGGCGUGACUUAACACAUGCAAGUCGAACGGAGUUUUAACGGAAGUUUCGGAUGGAAGUUUAAGAACUUAGUGGCGGACGGGUGAGUAACGCGUGGGUAACCUGCUCAUACAGGGGAUAACAGUUAGAAAUGACUGCUAACACCGCAUAAUAUAGUGAAACCGCAUGAUUUUGCUAUCAAAUAUUUAUAGGUAUGAGAUGGGCCCGCGUCUGAUUAGCUAGUUGGUGGGGUAAAGCCUACCAAGGCGACGAUCAGUAGCCGGCUUGAGAGAGUGACCGGCCACAUUGGGACUGAGACACGGCCCAAACUCCUACGGGAGGCAGCAGUGGGGAAUAUUGGACAAUGGGGGAAACCCUGAUCCAGCGAACCGCCGCGUGAGUGAAGAAGUAUUUCGGUAUGUAAAGCUCUAUCAGCAGGGAAGAUAAUGACAGUACCUGACUAAGAAGCCCCGGCUAACUACGUGCCAGCAGCCGC
Molecule: ribosomal RNA, 495 nt
Filed under: uncultured bacterium
Lineage: Bacteria
Description: bacterial SSU rRNA
Rfam family: Bacterial small subunit ribosomal RNA
Source: RNAcentral